Acanthaster planci (crown-of-thorns starfish) is the source of this 1667-nucleotide long non-coding RNA. Lineage: Eukaryota; Metazoa; Echinodermata; Asteroidea; Valvatida; Acanthasteridae. The record is from RefSeq and is a predicted model, not a curated record.
UACAACUGAAAACACGUGUUUUCAUAUUGUUACCUCAUUUUGAAAACCUUCAGAUCAUAUCUGUCAUUUUAUUACGUGAUUCCGUUAAGCUCUUUUUGGUCACCUUUAAAUUGAUUGAACUUACUGUGAUGCUUAAUGGAAUCCAAGGCCAACUUUCCUGCUGAGAUCCAUGGGAUGGCAAGCUCUUCCACGAGAUGCAUAUGGAGAGUUAUGCUUUCUGCUGGGAGGUUGCCCGAAGAAAAUUUGACACGCUGAUUUUCAGCAACAAGAAUUUGUCACCAGGAAUUGACUUUCUUGCUGAUGUAUUCAGAGGUGACUGGCCAAUGCUCUUCCAAGGAUAUCAUGCUAACCUCGGCAGGUCACUUUGGGAGGAACAAGGAGCACUCCAUAGAUGUCAAUGUCAAGAUGGAGAGCUUGUCAAACAUUGAGGACUCUUUACUUCACUUCAGACAUGCUGUGUGGAAGAAACAAAAGCUCACUCACGGUAUUUUGUAUGUACAUGUACAUGGGUAUUUCUAUUUAUUCUGGCCUCGGGCGAGUAACGGGAAUUCCCUAUCCAGUUAGACAACCAGCACACGAGACAUCUGUUUCCGGUCUUGAAUUCUUAUAUUCGAUGAUAAUCUCGCAUAUGGUAAACUGUAGAUUAACAGGAUAAAAAACCAUGUGCAUAUAAUUAACAUCAGCUGAACCAAUGUGGCACAAAGGUCAAAUGUGACACUGAUAAGCAAUGCAGGAAACAAAUUGGUUUACGUAAUAUAACAUACGAAAGGAUUUAGCAAAAGAAUAAUCGACUACCAGUGUGUUAAUCAGUGAUAGGAAUGGACCAGGAAUGAAUUAAUUGAAAAAAUAGGAACAUGAGCGAGCAUACACACAACCAGUGUACAUGUAGUGCAGACAAUACGAACUAUUUCAACUUAACAUUAUCUUUACAGAAUAAGCGAACAAGGUCUCGAAAAGUGGUUAACACUAACAGUAUGAGGGCUAAAUCAACUGAAAUACAUGUGUAGCAUCGUUGGGUGGUAAAAACUUACAGAACCCUAGCCUCCGAGAGUGCAGAGCUAAGCUGCCAACAAUAGACUUAUUAAGUGAAGAUCAAAAUGUGGUGCAACCUGGGAGGCAAACGAUAAACAGACCUCUUAAGCAAACAACAAGAAAAUACAGACUCAAAAAAAAAAGUUACUAAUACAUGUACUUAAGAGCUGAGGAGUAUAUUCUAUGUCACCUCUCCUUAGCGCAGACAACAAAAUAACAUCGAAGAUGGGUAUAAAGACGAGCAAACUAAAUAGGACAGCAAGCAUUGUACAUGCUGUAUACAUAUCUAUGCGAACAUACCCAGCAACAAGAAGAUGGCAGCCCCCAAGACAUAAAAUAGAACAUAUGAAAACCGACAAAGAUGUUGAUAUAAUAGGGUCUUUACAAUAACAAUAAGACUUUUAUCGAGAACAAAACUUACAGGUGAUUUAUAUCAGAAGAAUCAAGAUUCGGAACGAAUGCUGUCAAGCAGAAAAAAAGAAGAUUAUUGAGACAAAUUCUAACGUGUUUCGUUAGUAGGAUCUUUGCGCUAAAAACCAGCACUUCCGGAGAGUAGCGAUUUAACAGUCACAACCCGAGAGCGCACUCUGCGGUCAGUACACUAUUCAUUAAGGGUUCAGUUUUUCCCUGCCUAA